This 1135-nucleotide long non-coding RNA is filed under the name Salmo salar (Atlantic salmon). Its description in RNAcentral is "lncRNA (ENSSSAG00000098790.1)". Lineage: Eukaryota; Metazoa; Chordata; Actinopteri; Salmoniformes; Salmonidae. The record is from RNAcentral.
CUCUCUCAACAAUUGGACGUUUGCGCUGGACCCGAUCCUAUAGCUGUUCAGCAAAUCAGCAGUCUGUUCGCUACCUCACCCAGCCUGUGUUGAUUGACAGUUUAAUGGUCCAAUCAGAGUGCCGAGUGUGCGUUUGAUUAGCUAAUCUGUUGCAGUUUUUUUUGCAAGGGCGAUGCUGCGGCUACUGUCUCUGCGUGUAGAUUAAUCCACGUAGACUCUGUGCCGCAAAAUGAGUGAAAAAACAUUACAAAACCUGGACAGAUAAUUUCAAGUUGUCAGUCAAAGUCGAGUCCCGAGUCUUGAGAGUCCAAGUGAAGUCUGAAGUUAUUUUAUUUUCUAUCAAGUGAAGUCUCAAGUCAUAAAAUGUGUUGCUCCAGUCCAAGUCAUGUGACUCGGGUCCACAACUCUGGAAUGCUGAUGAUAUCCAUGCCCUGUCGAUGGACACUAUACUUCAGGACGCAGAGAAGAUCACCAGCUCAGCUCAUCAAACUGUCCAAUCUCUGGAGGGGACAACAGACACUGCUCAAUCUGUGCUUGAUUUGGCCCAAGUGGCACCCAGCCAAACGGACUAACGUUAUAAUGCAUAAAUCCUUUAGCUAUUGUUAUUUUUAAAUUGUGUGUGUAUUUCAUACAAUCUUGCAGGUUGUUAUGAUAUUAUUGGUUUGUAACAAACAUACAAAUCUGUAAUCAUAUCCUGUCCCUCAGGGCUACAAUGAUAAACAUCAAACUCUGUUCUCUUAUACGCUGAACUGAUGGACAGUGGACCAGCAGCACUCAGUAUGUAACCUGACACCCCUGGAGGUGUUGAUGGUAAUUCUGUAGAACAAGAAAGAAAACAAAAACAAUGUAGAAAACUUCAGUGAACUAUUUACAGAUAAAACAUAAUCCAUAUAAGUAGGAGCAGAUCAGCCUAUAGUAUUUGGUAUUUUAUUAGGAUCCCCAUUAGCUGUUUCAAAAGCAGAAGCUACUCUUCCUGGGGUCCACACAAAACAUGAAACAUGACAUAAUACAAAACAUUAAUAGACAACAGCUCAAGGACAGAACUACAUGAAUAAAAUAAAAAUGUUAAUACAAAAGGCACAAGUAGCCUACAUAUCAAUACAUACACACAAACUAUCUAGGUCAAAUAGUGGAG